UCCCAUCUUUCCCCACCCCACCAUGAAACAUAGUAGGAUGGGGGAAGAUAGGACAC
RNAcentral lists this microRNA precursor (56 nucleotides) under Ciona intestinalis (vase tunicate). Its description in RNAcentral is "miRNA (ENSCING00000023843.1)". Lineage: Eukaryota; Metazoa; Chordata; Ascidiacea; Phlebobranchia; Cionidae. The record is from RNAcentral.